Molecule: small nucleolar RNA, 79 nt
Filed under: Myotis davidii
Lineage: Eukaryota; Metazoa; Chordata; Mammalia; Chiroptera; Vespertilionidae
Description: Small nucleolar RNA SNORD113/SNORD114 family
Rfam family: Small nucleolar RNA SNORD113/SNORD114 family
About the family: The imprinted human domain at 14q32 contains two clusters of tandemly repeated small nucleolar RNAs named 14q(I) and 14q(II) snoRNAs.
Source: Rfam by way of RNAcentral
UGGAUCAAUGAUCAUACCUGCUGGCGUAUGAGUCACAGAUAAUGAAUAAUAUGUGUCUGAAAAUGGGGUAUUUCUCUAU